This 666-nucleotide ribosomal RNA is filed under the name Staphylococcus epidermidis. RNAcentral's name for it is "partial 23S ribosomal RNA". It matches the Rfam family "Bacterial large subunit ribosomal RNA", at positions 1 to 663 of the family's 2925-position model. Lineage: Bacteria; Bacillati; Bacillota; Bacilli; Caryophanales; Staphylococcaceae. The record is from RNAcentral.
AGAUUAAGUUAUUAAGGGCGCACGGUGGAUGCCUUGGCACUAGAAGCCGAUGAAGGACGUUACUAACGACGAUAUGCUUUGGGUAGCUGUAAGUAAGCGUUGAUCCAGAGAUUUCUGAAUGGGGGAACCCAGCAUGAGUUAUGUCAUGUUAUCGACAUGUGAAUUCAUAGCAUGUCAGAAGGCAGACCCGGAGAACUGAAACAUCUUAGUACCCGGAGGAAGAGAAAGAAAAAUCGAUUCCCUGAGUAGCGGCGAGCGAAACGGGAAGAGCCCAAACCAACAAGCUUGCUUGUUGGGGUUGUAGGACACUCUAUACGGAGUUACAAAAGAACAUGUUAGACGAAUCAUCUGGAAAGAUGAAUCAAAGAAGGUAAUAAUCCUGUAGUCGAAAACAUAUUCUCUCUUGAGUGGAUCCUGAGUACGACGGAGCACGUGAAAUUCCGUCGGAAUCUGGGAGGACCAUCUCCUAAGGCUAAAUACUCUCUAGUGACCGAUAGUGAACCAGUACCGUGAGGGAAAGGUGAAAAGUACCCCGGAAGGGGAGUGAAAGAGAACUUGAAACCGUGUGCUUACAAGUAGUCAGAGCCCGUUAAUGGGUGAUGGCGUGCCUUUUGUAGAAUGAACCGGCGAGUUACGAUCUGAUGCAAGGUUAAGCAGCAAAUGUGG